GGUGAGAUGGCCGAGCGGUCUAAGGCGCCAGACUAAGGUUUCGUGCCUGUCGACAUCUGGUCCGAAAGGGCGUGGGUUCGAAUCCCACUCUCAUCA
RNAcentral lists this transfer RNA (96 nucleotides) under Polyporus arcularius HHB13444. It matches the Rfam family "tRNA". From Rfam's summary of the family: Transfer RNA (tRNA) molecules are approximately 80 nucleotides in length. Their secondary structure includes four short double-helical elements and three loops (D, anti-codon, and T loops). Further hydrogen bonds mediate the characteristic L-shaped molecular structure. tRNAs have two regions of fundamental functional importance: the anti-codon, which is responsible for specific mRNA codon recognition, and the 3' end, to which the tRNAs corresponding amino acid is attached (by aminoacyl-tRNA synthetases). tRNAs cope with the degeneracy of the genetic code in two manners: having more than one tRNA (with a specific anti-codon) for a particular amino acid; and 'wobble' base-pairing, i.e. permitting non-standard base-pairing at the 3rd anti-codon position. The record is from Rfam by way of RNAcentral. Lineage: Eukaryota; Fungi; Basidiomycota; Agaricomycetes; Polyporales; Polyporaceae.